RNAcentral lists this ribosomal RNA (498 nucleotides) under Fusarium solani. RNAcentral's name for it is "eukaryotic LSU rRNA". The stretch from base 157 to 310 matches the Rfam family "5.8S ribosomal RNA". The record is from RNAcentral. Lineage: Eukaryota; Fungi; Ascomycota; Sordariomycetes; Hypocreales; Nectriaceae.
UCAUUGCGAGUUAUACAACUCAUCAACCCUGUGAACAUACCUAUAACGUUGCCUCGGCGGGAACAGACGGCCCCGUAACACGGGCCGCCCCCGCCAGAGGACCCCCUAACUCUGUUUCUAUAAUGUUUCUUCUGAGUAAACAAGCAAAUAAAUUAAAACUUUCAACAACGGAUCUCUUGGCUCUGGCAUCGAUGAAGAACGCAGCGAAAUGCGAUAAGUAAUGUGAAUUGCAGAAUUCAGUGAAUCAUCGAAUCUUUGAACGCACAUUGCGCCCGCCAGUAUUCUGGCGGGCAUGCCUGUUCGAGCGUCAUUACAACCCUCAGGCCCCCGGGCCUGGCGUUGGGGAUCGGCGGAAGCCCCCUGCGGGCACAACGCCGUCCCCCAAAUACAGUGGCGGUCCCGCCGCAGCUUCCAUUGCGUAGUAGCUAACACCUCGCAACUGGAGAGCGGCGCGGCCACGCCGUAAAACACCCAACUUCUGAAUGUUGACCUCGAAUC